GACGAACGCUGGCGGCGUGCUUAACACAUGCAAGUCGAACGGAAAGGCCCUGCUUUUGUGGGGUGCUCGAGUGGCGAACGGGUGAGUAACACGUGAGUAACCUGCCCUUGACUUUGGGAUAACUUCAGGAAACUGGGGCUAAUACCGGAUAGGAGCUCCUGCUGCAUGGUGGGGGUUGGAAAGUUUCGGCGGUUGGGGAUGGACUCGCGGCUUAUCAGCUUGUUGGUGGGGUAGGGGCUUACCAAGGCUUUGACGGGUAGCCGGCCUGAGAGGGUGACCGGCCACAUUGGGACUGAGAUACGGCCCAGACUCCUACGGGAGGCAGCAGUGGGGAAUAUUGCACAAUGGGCGGAAGCCUGAUGCAGCAACGCCGCGUGCGGGAUGACGGCCUUCGGGUUGUAAACCGCUUUCGCCUGUGACGAAGCGUGAGUGACGGUAAUGGGUAAAGAAGCGCCGGCUAACUACGUGCCAGCAGCCGCGGUGAUACGUAGGGUGCGAGCGUUGUCCGGAUUUAUUGGGCGUAAAGGGCUCGUAGGUGGUUGAUCGCGUCGGAAGUGUAAUCUUGGGGCUUAACCCUGAGCGUGCUUUCGAUACGGGUUGACUUGAGGAAGGUAGGGGAGAAUGGAAUUCCUGGUGGAGCGGUGGAAUGCGCAGAUAUCAGGAGGAACACCAGUGGCGAAGGCGGUUCUCUGGGCCUUUCCUGACGCUGAGGAGCGAAAGCGUGGGGAGCGAACAGGCUUAGAUACCCUGGUAGUCCACGCUGUAAACGGUGGGUACUAGGUGUGGGGUCCAUUCCACGGGUUCCGUGCCGUAGCUAACGCUUUAAGUACCCCGCCUGGGGAGUACGGCCGCAAGGCUAAAACUCAAAGGAAUUGACGGGGCCCCGCACAAGCGGCGGAGCAUGCGGAUUAAUUCGAUGCAACGCGUAGAACCUUACCUGGGUUUGACAUGGAUCGGGAGCGCUCAGAGAUGGGUGUGCCUCUUUUGGGGUCGGUUCACAGGUGGUGCAUGGCUGUCGUCAGCUCGUGUCGUGAGAUGUUGGGUUAAGUCCCGCAACGAGCGCAACCCUUGUUCACUGUUGCCAGCACGUUAUGGUGGGGACUCAGUGGAGACCGCCGGGGUCAACUCGGAGGAAGGUGGGGAUGACGUCAAGUCAUCAUGCCCCUUAUGUCCAGGGCUUCACGCAUGCUACAAUGGCUGGUACAGAGAGUGGCGAGCCUGUGAGGGUGAGCGAAUCUCGGAAAGCCGGUCUCAGUUCGGAUUGGGGUCUGCAACUCGACCUCAUGAAGUCGGAGUCGCUAGUAAUCGCAGAUCAGCAACGCUGCGGUGAAUACGUUCCCGGG
This 1343-nucleotide ribosomal RNA is filed under the name uncultured bacterium. RNAcentral describes it as "16S ribosomal RNA". It matches the Rfam family "Bacterial small subunit ribosomal RNA", at positions 28 to 1378 of the family's 1533-position model. The record is from RNAcentral.